GACGAACGCUGGCGGCGUGCUUAACACAUGCAAGUCGAACGGAAAGGCCCUGCUUUUGUGGGGUGCUCGAGUGGCGAACGUGUGAGUAACACGUGAGUAACCUGCCCUUGACUUUGGGAUAACUUCAGGAAACUGGGGCUAAUACCGGAUAGGAGCUCCUGCUGCAUGGUGGGGGUUGGAAAGUUUCGGCGGUUGGGGAUGGACUCGCGGCUUAUCAGCUUGUUGGUGGGGUAGUGGCUUACCAAGGCUUUGACGGGUAGCCGGCCUGAGAGGGUGACCGGCCACAUUGGGACUGAGAUACGGCCCAGACUCCUACGGGAGGCAGCAGUGGGGAAUAUUGCGCAAUGGGCGGAAGCCUGAUGCAGCAACGCCGCGUGCGGGAUGACGGCCUUCGGGUUGUAAACCGCUUUCGCCUGUGACGAAGCGUGAGUGACGGUAAUGGGUAAAGAAGCACCGGCUAACUACGUG
This 468-nucleotide ribosomal RNA is filed under the name uncultured bacterium. RNAcentral's name for it is "partial 16S ribosomal RNA". It matches the Rfam family "Bacterial small subunit ribosomal RNA", at positions 28 to 507 of the family's 1533-position model. The record is from RNAcentral.